Heterorhabditis bacteriophora is the source of this 118-nucleotide non-coding RNA. NCBI's taxonomy places the organism in Eukaryota, Metazoa, Nematoda, Chromadorea, Rhabditida, Heterorhabditidae. The record is from Rfam.
CAUCUCUGGCUCCCCUGCAUUUGACCGAGAAAAUCUUUCCCCUUUUACUAAAGAUUUCCGUGCCGAGGGGCAAUUAGGAGUAUCAGUCAAUUUUUGGCAUCCCCUCGAAAGAGCGGGA